CCCUGGCACAGGUUGCUCGGGGAAGCUGUGCUGGCACAUCCCAAGGCCGGGUUGGGCGGGCUUGGAGCGACGGGGACGGAGCGAGAUGGGCUGCGGGGUGUCCUUCCAGGCCACACCAUUCCGUGAUGCCCAGGCCACACCAUUCCGGAUGCUCUGAGGGCACUGGGGCUCUCCGGGCACGGCCGGGGACAGCGCUGGGAGCGGGGCGGUGGCAGCAGGGCUGGGGCGCGGAGCCUGAGGCGAGCUCUGGGUGCGCUCUGUGUCUCCGUGCGCUGCCCCAGCUGCCUGGAUGGGAUCGCUGGGUUAUGGAUGUACCGUCAGGACUCCUGUUCUGUUAAACUACAAAAACCGUGUGUGUAUCUUUGUCUUCCGUGGGUGUUCGGCAGCCGUGCCUGGCAGGAGGGUGUAGCGCUCCCAGAGUCAGGGUGACCGGUCACAGCCUAAAGCUGUGCCAGAAGAGCUUCAGGUUGGACAUUAAGAGGGAUUUCUUUACAGAAAGGGUGCUUAGACAUUGGGGUUGGCUGUCCAGGUGUGGAGUGUCCAUCCCUAGAGAUGUUUAAGGAAAGACUGGACGUGGCCUCGGUGGUGUUGGGUCAUAGGUUGGACUCAAUAAUCUCAGAGGUGUUUUCCUGUGAUUUGCUCAUUCUGCGCACCAAAUCCCAAUGUUCCAUCCUCUCUGCAGAGCCUUGCACUUUCAUUUCCCCCUGAUUUCAACUGUAUUGCUCAUCUUAUCAACAUUUUUUAUUUCUUUUUGCUACGCUGGCAGCACUUUGUUCUGUCUCUUUUGAACACCCUGCUCCAAAAGCGCUGAGCCUGAAGUCCCGAGAACCCCAGUGGUGGAGGAUCCCUGUGGAGCGAAAUCUGUCCAUGACUGGGAAGCCCACGCAACGCCAGAAUGGGUUUUUCUUGCUGGGGAUCUCAAUUAAGGAAACUUGUCAGAGAAGACCAAGACAAUGAAUCUUUCCAGUAACUCCUGUAAAAAAUGCACAAGAGACUUUGAGCUAAAACACGGCCUGAAGAAAGUUAAUGAAGUUGUUAAUAGUCUGUGUCACAAAUGAGAAGACUGUGGAUGAUUCUCUUUUUUUCCUUCAGGCCUUGAUGAGUCAUGAAAAUUAUAGAAAGCUAAUUUUUCUAAUGGAGCAGGUUUUGUAAGUAAAAGAGGAAAAAUCGGGAAAAAACUAAAAUACAGACAUCUGAUGACAAGAGCUGCUUCUGGUGGUGACCAGUGUGUUGUAAACUGGAAUUUUCUUGAAUUUAAUGGACAUUUUGACCUAAUUUAGUCUUGUUAAUUAACUUUUUUAGAGAGGUCAAACCCUUUUCUCUGGUAAAGGUCAUGUACUUCAACUAAGAAAUCUUUUCUCAUCUACAGAAUAAUACAGCAACAUAAAAAUUCAUGUUGCUUGGUUUUUUUUAUAAUUCUGACAAUAUUAAUGGAUCAUGAGCAAUAAGCCUGCAGUAUUUCACACCCCUUUGCCCAGUCCUCAUCAAAUAAUUCCUUUUUGUGUUUGUUGUUUGUGUGUGUGAAUGAUCCCAGGGUUAUGCAGUUAUCCAGCAGCAGGCUCAUCCACUGGAGCCUGGAGAUGGAUGUUAUUUCACACAGAAGGAAAAUGACAUUCCAAAAACCCACAUGGACCUGAUCAUUGUGAGAGAAGUGUGGGAAGAAUGCUCUUUGUAAAACAAGGGAGCCACAUUGAGAUAAAAACCUUGAUUUCAGUGUCAGAAAUUUUGUGAAUGUUUCAGUUGAAUAAAGCAGCUUUAUUGCUUCUGAAAAUGUUUGCACCUCUUGGUCAGUCAGGUCAGGAGUUACCUAAGGCCUUGCAUAAAGCACACCUUCAGUGGGAAUGGCACUGCAGGAAUAUUGACAACUUCAAAUCACUCUUCCUUUUUGAGUAACAGCUGUAUGAACUGCCCCUUAAAAGAAAAUAAAGAGAGGAAAAACCAGAAAAUGCUUUUUCAUUGAAUUGGUGAACCUGCUCAGAAAUAUUGAAGAGACACAUAGCAAACUAGAGUGGUCACUAGAAAUAGAAAUAAUGUGUUGGAGGUGGGGGAACUACCACUGUCCUAAUUGUGGAGUUUCUCUGACAGGAAACUUGGAUCCAUUCCACUUCAUGAUUUCUUCAUGAAAACUACAUAAAAUAUUUUAGAAAACCUGAGUGAUUUCUAUAACAGAAUUUUGGCAAUUUAAAGCAAAGCAUGUUGCUAUGACAGUUCCUACAAAUCAUUUAGCUUUGUUUUGUAUUAUAAAUAUGUCAAAAUGAAGCCAUUUCUGUCCAAACAAAAAUUUUCCAGGCUUUUAAAAAAUAUUUCUUAUUUGCCAAAGUCAAGAUGAAGGCUUAUUUCAAAUGCUGUAACUUAGAUCUGCAUAACUAUAAACCCACAAGGACAUAGCUUUAGUCUUAUAAAUAAGUAAUGUCAUUAGAUACAGUAUUCUUAGUUUAAUUGACUUCAUUUUCUACUCUGUAUAACAGUGAUUGAAAAAUAAAAGACAUUUAACAUUGCUGAAACCUUUUCUAGUGGUUUCUGAACUGCAAGUCAAUAAGCACAAGCCAUUGCCAGAAAAUGUCAUCGGUUUUGGGGUUUGUUUCAGUAGUAAAAUGCUAAGUGAAACCUAGGUGGGUACAGGGAAUUGCUUCUAGUCCUUUGCAAAUAAGAAUCAGGUGAAAUCUGAAAGGCAAAGACAUCAAAAUAGCACAGAUUUAUCAUGCAGACAGCAUUGAUGAAACCCCACAUAAGGAACUCAUUUCAUUUUCUGCAGGUAAGUAAAAAAAAAGAUUUUAUGGGGGAUAUUUACCAAGUUGGCAGCUGAGUCUUUAACUUCAGAGGUAUUGAAAGAACUGGGUAUUUUCAGAUUUGGCAUUUUUUUUCAUCAGAAGAAAAGAUGUUUAAGUUGGAGAAGGAGUUGCCAAAGAUAGAAUUUACUUGUGUGAGGUAAUAAAGUUGGUGAAUUGCAGUUAAAGCAAUUUCUUAAAUUAAAAUUCAUAUAUAUUCUUCCCUUAAAUUAACCCAGAUGUGUCCUAUACAUGAGUUAAGCAUGGGUUUCAUCACAGAUUAUCAGCUGAUGGUAUCUCCUCAGAGGGGCUGACAUCUGUUGCUUUGUGCUGUGGUCUCUCAAAAAGUGAUUCAACAACUACAACAUGGCAGAAAUGAGUACUUGAAUUUUGUCAGGAAACUAGAAAUCAUUUGAUCAGUGGCAGUUUAUUUUCUGGUGAUGUGGAGUUGCUGAGAAAGAAGGAAAAGGGAAUAUCCCAAAGCAAGAAGCAAGCAGAGACCACACUGAAAUAAAAGCAGCAGAGGGUGGAAUAUUCUGAAAAAGCAUCUGGAAAAGAGCUGAUUUAAGAUCAAGGAGAUGAAGAACUGCAGGAGCCAGUGGUACCUACAUUUUUUCAGCACAUGGUGAAAGGCUUUAUGCUCAAAGAAAUAGAACACAGACUUUUCUCCUGGUCUUUUCUACCCCAAGCCAUGGAGCUGUGUCAGAGACAUAAAGCAGUUGGGGAUGGAAGAGAGAGGUGGUCAAUAGAACUGUGAUGAGAUGUUACAGAGCCCCGUGAAAAAUGAUUCUAAUCAUAAAAUUUUAGAAGAACUCCUGGUUUGUUGGUUUUUUUAUAUAUUCAAGCUCUAGCUAGCUUCACUCUUUCCUCCCCACACACACACACUAAUACAACUUUUGCAAUUGACUUGAAGGACUGAGAUACAUACAAAAUAAAAAUAUUUUAUUGUUUUAUUUCAAUGCUUCAAUGUUUUUUUCCCCUUAACAGGUUAUAAAUGCAUAUGGGUUUGGGAGAGUUUGGAGUAAUAGGGAGUCAAAUGCAAAGUUCUCCUGAGGAAUUGCUUAUUUAUAUAAAGCUGAUGAGAAGACAAAUGUUUUAUGGGAGGGCCCUGACUCUCUUAAAGGAUAUUUGGCUGAAGGAGAGAGUACUUGCUGGAGCACACAUUUAGGUGUGUUUGUUAUUGCAUUGCUUUGUGCUGGGAGUGGAAAAAUACUGUCUAUCAGGUGCUUUUUAUUAGAUUUUUUUUUUCCCUGUAAGUGUCAGCAUGUGUUGGGCAAAUAGAGACUGAUUGUGUGGACUUGUAUAUCCAGAGAGUUCUGCUGUCACUGAGCCAUCAGACAAUCAGCUGGGUUCUAGACAUGGAAAAUAUGUGUGAAACUGGGAGUCAGCUUGUGUAACUCAGCUCUUGUUUCCAGAACAGGUGUAAAUGUACCAGAAAAAAUGACAUGAGUGCUAAGAAUAUCUGCAGAACAUCUGUAAUUGCUACACUAGGUGUGAUCACAUUUGAUGGAGCAGAGUCACAGAAAUCGUAAGAGCAAGUGACAAAACAAAGAUGUUCCAGAAGAUGUGGAAGGAAUCAACAAAAAAAGCAAAAUUUACCAUUCAGUGUCUGAUUUUCUGAAGAUUCCCUCUGAAAACUGUAUCAUUAGAAAUUGUAAUGAAACUCAAAAAGUGACCAGAAUAGCAAUUGACAGAAGACUUGGCAUCUUCAAAAUGGGCCUUGGAUGCUUAGAUAAAUGUGGUGGAGCAGAGCUGGACUGCCCUUCAUGUAAGUUCAGAGCAGUGCUGUAGGUGUGAGUU
Long non-coding RNA from Catharus ustulatus (Swainson's thrush), 4568 nucleotides. RefSeq lists it as uncharacterized. The record is from RefSeq and is a predicted model, not a curated record. NCBI's taxonomy places the organism in Eukaryota, Metazoa, Chordata, Aves, Passeriformes, Turdidae. The transcript is spliced from 4 exons.